This 253-nucleotide ribosomal RNA is filed under the name uncultured bacterium. RNAcentral describes it as "partial 16S ribosomal RNA". It matches the Rfam family "Bacterial small subunit ribosomal RNA", at positions 524 to 776 of the family's 1533-position model. The record is from RNAcentral.
GACGUAGGUGGCAAGCGUUGUUCGGAAUCACUGGGCAGAAAGCGCGCGUAGGCGGCCAAGUCAGUCAGGUGUGAAAUACCUCGGCUCAACCGAGGAACUGCGCCUGAUACUGCUUGGCUUGAGGUCCGGAGGGGAGAGUGGAAUUCCCGGUGGAGCGGUGAAAUGCGUAGAGAUCGGGAAGAACGCCGGCGGCGAAAGCGGGUCUCUGGGCCGAUACUGACGCUGAGGAGCGAAAGCGUGGGGAGCGAACAGG